GAGACCAUCAGCCACAUAACCCUAGGGUGUGUCCUCGCCAAGCAAGCUUGGGCAAUCAUCCCGACAACUGGGGAAAGCGACUGGAUGCCGCAUCGAGAUGCAAGACUACUGGACUGGUGGACCACGCUCAACCCUCCAAGGCAGUUCAGAAAGGAAAUCUGGACCGUGAUCAUCCUUGUGGCUUGGAUGCUAUGGAAGCAUAGGAAUGACAUCUUGUUCAACAGAGCUUCACCCUCAGUAGACGACGUGCUCAAACAGAUUGAUGUUGAGUCCCAAAGCUGGAGGACGACACAACUACUACGGAUACCAUGA
RNAcentral lists this ribosomal RNA (312 nucleotides) under Triticum aestivum (bread wheat). Its description in RNAcentral is "partial small subunit ribosomal RNA". The record is from RNAcentral. Lineage: Eukaryota; Viridiplantae; Streptophyta; Magnoliopsida; Poales; Poaceae.